This is a long non-coding RNA of Spodoptera frugiperda (fall armyworm), 1159 nucleotides long. RefSeq lists it as uncharacterized. NCBI's taxonomy places the organism in Eukaryota, Metazoa, Arthropoda, Insecta, Lepidoptera, Noctuidae. The record is from RefSeq and is a predicted model, not a curated record. The transcript is spliced from 9 exons.
CGGUAUUACUAACGAACGAUAUUCAGAUGUUCUUUUGUGGGUAUAAAUACCCACAAUAAAUUUUUAAAUGUCAGUUCCUUUGUUUACUAUCUUGUUUCAUUGUAGUUUGUAGGUACCUGAUAAAAUAGUACAGAAAUAGUAGUUUUUAUCUUAGAUUCUUUCUCUUCUGAUAGAUAUUGAUUGCCGGCAUCCACCCUGCGUAGCGUCCAUUAUGUUUCAUAUUCAUAUCUUUGAACUUGCUAUCAAGCAUUUUCUUACCCAUAUAAACCAAGGGUUCCCAACCCAACAACCAAGACCAAAAUGGUAUUUGAUCAACACAAAUUGAUCAAGGACCAUUUUUUAUCAUGGCUAUUAAAAGUUAGGCAAAGACAAUAAUAAUUCUACAUAUGAUUGAUUCACGUGGUCCUCCAUAGGAUUUCCUCCACAAUUAUGGGCCGGAGCUGCACGGUAACCCACUAGUUUGUCCGCAGCUCUGGGUCGGGGCUCCUCAGCUAUUGGUCAGGUCCUAGGCGUUCUCCUGGGAUAUGCAGACAUGCUCGAGGGCAGUCGAUAUAGAUGCGGUUGCGUGGAACCUGCCUGCUACCUGAAAGCAGCAUGGAAGUACGAUUCCGGGAUGUACCCGAGGACAGUCAGCGUAGGUCCUAGGCGUUCUCCUGGGAUAUGCAGACAUGCUCGAGGGCAGUCGAUAUAGAUGCGGUUGCGUGGAACCUGCCUGCUACCUGAAAGCAGCAUGGAAGUACGAUUCCGGGAUGUACCCGAGGACAGUCAGCGUAGGUCCUAGGCGUUCUCCUGGGAUAUGCAGACAUGCUCGAAGGCAGUCAAUAUAGAUGCUACACUGUGUCAGCAUUAUGGAAGCUGUGUCCACCGCUAACACAAACACGGUCGCCUUAACGUGGCCACGGACGUGACGACGGAGAAGACUAUGGAAAUGCUCUCCUGAGAUCCCGGAGCACUCGAUUCUGAUUUCGCCAAAGACUGCCGACAUUCUUCAGAACGACGGCUUUCGGCGACAUUUUGAGGAUAAAGGUAUUAAUUGCCGCAUUGUUGUCAUAAAACAUGUUAGCAUAGAAGCAUAAGUAUUUUUUACGGUAUAAGCCAGUGUCCAGUUACAUAAUAUUCCUAUAUAUAUUAAGAGCAAUAAAUAUGUUUAAUUGGAGAA